UACGGGGGGGGCAAGCGUUGUUCGGAAUUACUGGGCGUAAAGGGCUUGUAGGUGGCCAACUAAGUCAGACGUGAAAUCCCUCGGCUUAACCGGGGAACUGCGUCUGAUACUGGAUGGCUAGAGAUUGGGAGAGGGAUGCGGAAUUCCAGGUGUAGCGGUGAAAUGCGUAGAUAUCUGGAGGAACACCGGUGGCGAAGGCGGCAUCCUGGACCGAUACUGACGCUGAGGAGCGAAAGCCAGGGGAGCAAACGGG
RNAcentral lists this ribosomal RNA (253 nucleotides) under uncultured bacterium. RNAcentral's name for it is "partial 16S ribosomal RNA". It matches the Rfam family "Bacterial small subunit ribosomal RNA", at positions 524 to 776 of the family's 1533-position model. The record is from RNAcentral.